Panicum virgatum (switchgrass) is the source of this 1940-nucleotide long non-coding RNA. RefSeq lists it as uncharacterized. The transcript is spliced from 2 exons. NCBI's taxonomy places the organism in Eukaryota, Viridiplantae, Streptophyta, Magnoliopsida, Poales, Poaceae. The record is from RefSeq and is a predicted model, not a curated record.
CUUCGCUAUAUAUGCAAGUUUUUCCGGUAUGUAUCAGGUGAUUUCAAACCUAUUAUAUUUUGUCAAUAUUUAUUCUGUUGCCUUCACCACCCACUUAAUCUUUCGACCUGUUCUAAUAUUCUUAUAUGCUGUUAUGAUAACUGGUUCUAUUUCAUGGGUUUAAAAUCAAUGUUGCUUUCUUUAUGGAUAAAAGGAAAAUACAAUUAAUUGAAGCCCAGGAACCAAAAAUUGCUUAAAAGAAAACAUGACCUGAUAUCUGAUAUCAAAGUAAAUGGUUCCUUCUUUCAGCUACUUAUCUAAUUUAUUGUAAUGCUUAAUUGUGCCCAUUUUGGAUCAAAUAAACAAAUUCAGCAUGCAGAUAGAAGUGUUUCUUCUCCAGAUUGAAGGCCUCUUCAAGCAUUGCCUUCUUAUUAAUGCGAAAGAGAGCCAGUCCAUGUUCCGAUGUUCCUAUCCCAUCUGAGGGAGCAACUAGCCAUCCAACAAUUUCUGGAAGAAGAACCGUGAUUCCUCCUUUCCCCAUUCCUUUAUUUAGGCUAGACACUGCAUUUUACCCAUAGCUGCAUAUUUUUUUUCUAUCAAUAUUCCUUCAUUUGUGCUAAAAAUAGAUAGUGUGCAAAAGUAUUUCUUGAAAUAUGUAGCGGGUAGGUUUGAGGUUUCACUGCUACCAUUAUUACAGAUUAAUUGACAGUGUAGUCGACAGGUUUCAUUGCUAACAUAAUUAGUAAACCUUUGCAAUUAGAAAUCCAUAUUUCCAAGUGUUAGUAGCAAAAGCAACGUUAUGUUUCUUGGAUUGCAUCUACUGUAAGCCAAUAUCAAUCCGCCUAUCAAUCUGCCUUGCUUUGAUGUCCUAAAGUGUUGGACUGUGAAAUUAAUACGUGCUACUAUUUCUGCUAUGAAAUAUGAUGGAUAUACUUUUGGUGAUAUGACUCAUGAUGAUAUGAUGGCUUUGAUGAAAUGCUUAACCCUCAUGUUGUUGGACAUACAGUACUCAUCCUUGAGUUACAUUAGUGCAGUUUUAUAAUACCUGCAAAAAAAAGUAUAGUGUUAUAAUGUGCUGUGAAGCCCGCUUGCAGAGCUCUAAAUAUUCAUUUUUUACAACUGAGUUACAUUAGCUAUUAAUCUACUGUUCAGUUGUUUUUUCAAUAUAUUCAGUCAAAAGUGAUUAUCAGGUAGACCACUAGAGGCAUCCUGCCUGCUACAUGGUUGAUUCCAUAAAUGAUGAUAACCCAUUAUGUGGCAACAAUACAAAAAUUAUUUGUCAUUAUUGAAAAAUUACUAAUCAUGAUUCAUCUAUUUGGAAUGCCAAUAUAUUGAUUAAUUUGGUGUGCCUUCUUUUUUCUGCAGGUAGAAAUAGAAAUUACUAAUCAUGGUUCAUUUUCGUAUUGUUUGGUGGCUGUGGGAGGCAUGGAGGAGUUCUUAUGUCGAGAAUCGUUGAGCUGGUAUGUUAGCCAGAAAAAGUCAAGGUGCUAAAUGACAUUGGAGAGGAGGAAAAUAGUAUGCUUUGUGCUGCCAUAGUGAGAAGCGGGCUAUUGCAUGAAAGGAUAUCGCACUCCGCAAGCUCACUGAUCUUGUACCACCUUUCUACAGAUUUUACUUGCCUGUGCCAUUUUAAGGAAAAGAAAUUGGUUAUCUGUGUUUCAGGAUUCCUCCACCAAGCUGCUUCAAAGAGUCAAGCACUUCCUGUCUUAGAGCUGAUAUAGUGGCAUGGUUCAUGAUAAGUUCUGCAACCUGCAAUUGAAUUUGCGCUUUGUGGAUCGUCAUGGAUUCUACCUAUUAUGUUCGUGUUUUCAUUUGAACUCCGAAUCAAAUAUUAUAAUGCGAGCACUCAAAAGACAAAUUUUAAGUGUUAUAGGCACUGAACUGUGAUUGACUACAAUCAACCCAUCUGUACAUGCAAAAGUUACAUGAAUUUUCAAUUAGCUGUUCAAUGCUCAUGAAAA